GUCCACGCCGUAAACGAUGGGUGCUAGGUGUGGGAGGUGUCGACUCCUUCCGUGCCGUAGCUAACGCAUUAAGCACCCCGCCUGGGGAGUACGGCCGCAAGGCUAAACUCAAGGAAUUGACGGGGCCCCGCACAAGCAGCGGAGCAUGUGGUUUAAUUCGAUGCAACGCGAAGAACCUUACCAGGGCUUGACAUGCACUGGAAAACCGUAGAAAUACGGUCCUCCUUCGGGACCAGUACACAGGUGGUGCAUGGCUGUCGU
Molecule: ribosomal RNA, 261 nt
Filed under: uncultured bacterium
Lineage: Bacteria
Description: partial 16S ribosomal RNA
Rfam family: Bacterial small subunit ribosomal RNA
Source: RNAcentral